Long non-coding RNA from Globicephala melas (long-finned pilot whale), 2948 nucleotides. RefSeq lists it as uncharacterized. The record is from RefSeq and is a predicted model, not a curated record. Lineage: Eukaryota; Metazoa; Chordata; Mammalia; Artiodactyla; Delphinidae.
CGGCGCCCGGCGGCCGGGCGGACGGCGCCCACAAGGUGGCAGUGCCGCGCUGUUGGUGUCCUGGCCGGGUUCCGUGCGGGGCGCGCGGGGAGACCGGAGCCCGCGCAUCCCUCCUGCAAAAGUUUUAAUGAACAUAGACCCACCCGGGCCUGGGGCGCUCCCAGGCCUGCUGGCCGCGCCGCUUCGAUUUCGGAGUUCCUCUGGGAGAGCUGUACGCUUCGAUGGCGUCUCUCUUUGUCCUCGACUCAGAGAAUCAGGAUUCGGAGCCUGUAAUUGAAGCAGGAGUCCGGCCAUGGCUGCGGAGAUGCCAUCACCCUAAGGAAAGAGGGAGGCAUCUUCUGAGGAAUCGCCUUGAGAACCCGAGGCACGUCUGUUCAUACCUUCAAUCCUGACAAGCUGUUUUUGAAGGCGAAUAUGAUGUUUGGAACCAUCUAGAAGUCAUUUGGAGUCCAGUGAAAAAGCCAGCGAUCAAGGGGAGAAUAAAGGUCUGAGUGAAAAGGUAGCAGCCAAACAAAGGAGCGUGGAAGGGGAAGAGUUCCAACAGGAGUCGGACAAGAUCACUUCAGGCAGAAGGUCAAGUUCUCGGUGAUGUCUCCUUCCUCUGCGGUAGCAGCUGUCUCCAGGCUUCAUGCGAACAGGCUCAGUAUGACCAGCGGGGACAAUCCACACGUGGUCCAAAGCCGGGCCCUGACUGCCUGUGGGAGUGUUAUGACAUGAAGCUCAUCCUUACCACCACUUUAAGAAAAAAAAUAGAGAGACAGACAAAAUAUUUUCAGAUCUGAGCAGGCACGUGGGGCCAGCUAGUUAACAGGAGAAAGAAAACGGAACAACAAUGACAAAAAAAAGAAUUUGAUCUUGCUAGUAGUCAGUUACAAACACCUGAAUGGAUGAACACUGACGCUCCAGCCAGACUGAAUCAGCUUUAGAAGGGUGUUCUAGCAUCCUUUUUGUUAUUUUACUCUCCCUCCUUUUUCCCUUCUCUCUCUGCACUGCCCAAGGUCUGGGCUCUACUCCCGGUGUCCCAAAUGGACAUGGUUGGAUUCAUCAAGCCUCUUUCAAGGCCCUGUUUCUACCUUUGUAUUUGUAUAUAGGAUUUCUACUCCCUCAAAAAGCCUCCCCCCUCCAAACUGACUAAGCUCUGGGCCCUACAAAACAUGGGUGCUCUCUGGGGAGCUGACAGGCAUCCCCGGCCCCAACCUGGGGACCUGCGGGGGCUCCCUGCCGUCUUAAGUUUUUCACAUUCUUCCUGGUGGAGCAUCUAUAUGGCAGACCUUCCUCAUGCUGACGACAAUGGCUUCUCACUUCGUGACUUGAGUUUUUUAUGCUAAAAUGCUCCCUCCCUUCCCAGGAGUCAGAGGCCCGAGAAGAUAAGUGACUUAAAGGAAAGUCUACCUCUUGAGUGAGGCAUUUUUGCUUUCGCUUACGGAUGAGAAAGAGGAUGCUCAAAGCGCCGAGGGAGUCAUUUAUCUAAGAUCACAGAGCUGGUUAGAAACCCAGUCAGAACUGGAACCCAGGUCCUCAACUCCUAAACUGCUGUUUCUUGUUCUAUUCCAUAUUUCUAAUCCAUCAGAUGCAUUCAUUUGAAGAAAGAAAUAAGUUAGGUUUUUCUGAUCCGAGCGAGUCAAGAAGCACAUGGGUCUUUUGAGUCACCGAGACCUCAUGCUCCCAGCAUUUUCAGUAAAGACGUAACUUUUGAGGCUGCGUUCUCUCCUUUCAUUUUUUUUACACUAAUGGGUGUUUCAGUAGGAAUGGGAUUCCUACAUUUCAGAUUCUAAUGUGCUUACUCCACUUAACGAGGUUUGGCUUAAUUAUUAAGAGUGCUGUGAGGCAUGAGGCCAGAGCAGUCCCAACGUGGCUACAUCCUGUGCGUGUGGAUAUCUGUGCUCGUGGCAGGAUGGAGAGGCCAGGGAGGCCAAGAGGUGGGGGGCUGAGAGGCAGGACCUCCUUGUCCCCCAUCUGUGACAUGGUGGGCUUCCAGGUGAGGAUACAGUGGGGUGUGCAGUGCAGAGGUGACAAGGAAGGGACACUAUUAGUUUGGUAGGGUUGCUGUAACAAACUACUACAAACAAAUGACUUAAACAACAGAAAUUUACUGUCUCACAGUUCUGGAAAUUAGAAUUCUGACACUGAGAUGCCGGGAUGGCCAAGCUCCCUCUGAAGGCCCUGGGGAAGAAUCGGUCCCAUGCCUCUCUGUUAGCUUCAAGUAGUUCCUUGGAUUGUGACAGCACAGCUCCAGUCUUCACGUGAUGUCCUCUGGUGUGUGUGUGUCUAUGUCCAAGUCACCUCUUUUAAUAAGGACAUAAGUCAUAUUGGAUUAGGGGGCCACUGUACUUCAGUAUGACCUCAUCUUAACUAGUUGUAUCUGCAAUGACCCUAUUUCCAAAUACAGCCACAUUGUGAGAUUAGGGCUUUAACAGGUGAAUUCUGGGGGACACGUUUUAACCCAUAAUGGCCCACCCUCUGGUCCCCCCAAUUUACGUCCUUCUCACAUGCAAAAUACAUUCAUCUUAUCUCAACAGCCCCGAAAUUCUUAACUUAUUCCAGCAUCAACGCUAAGUCCUAAACCUCAUCUAAAUAAGGUAUGGGUGAAAGUCGGAGUAUGAUUCACUCUGGGGCAAAAUUCCUCUCUGUAUGAGAACCUAUGAAACCAGACCACAAGUUAUCUGCUUCCAAAACAUGAUGGUGGGACAGUCAAAGGACAGACCUUACCAUUCCAAAAGGGAGAAAUCAGAAGGAAAAAGGGUCAUGUGGCCCAAGAAAGCCUGAAACCUAACAGUAAGUUCCAUUAGAUUUAAGGCUUGAGAAUAAUCCUCUUUGGCUCAGUGUUUUGUCCUUUGAGUCCACCCACAUCAUGAAGGGUGAUCUGCUUUUCUCUCUGCUUUUCUCAAAGUCCACUGAUUUAAAUGUUAAUCACAUCUAAAAAAAAAAAAAGUGCUUUCACAGCAACA